Molecule: ribosomal RNA, 300 nt
Filed under: uncultured Ignicoccus sp.
Lineage: Archaea; Thermoproteati; Thermoproteota; Thermoprotei; Desulfurococcales; Desulfurococcaceae
Description: bacterial SSU rRNA
Rfam family: Bacterial small subunit ribosomal RNA
Source: RNAcentral
UGUAACACGGGCGCGGAUGCCGAGGUAAUACGGUGGAGCCAACCGUUAACCGGAAUCAGUGGGUUUAAAGGGUUCGUAGGCGGCCUUAUAAGUCAGCGGUGAAAGGUUUUGGCUUAACCAAAAAAUUGCCAUUGAUACUGUAGGGCUUGAAUUAUUGUGAAGUAACUAGAAUAUGUAGUGUAGCGGUGAAAUGCUUAGAUAUUACAUGGAAUACCAAUUGCGAAGGCAGGUUACUAACAAUGGAUUGACGCUGAUGGACGAAAGCGUGGGUAGCGAACAGGAUUAGAUACCCCUGUAGUC